Molecule: long non-coding RNA, 9148 nt
Organism: Orcinus orca (killer whale)
Lineage: Eukaryota; Metazoa; Chordata; Mammalia; Artiodactyla; Delphinidae
Exons: 3
Source: RefSeq, a predicted model, not a curated record
GGCCGGGGCCCGGGGACGCACCCGCUCUCCGCCCGCCAACCGGCUCGGCCCCGAGAAUCCCAGACGGGAGGCGGGCGGGUAGGUGGGAGCCGGCGCGCGUCUGAAGUCUGGAGAGCCCUCCCGACUCUAAGCUCCGGCCCGCCGCUCCGAGACCCCGGGAGAGUGCGGGGCGCGCUUUCUCUGCGCCUCGCGCAAAACUGCAGGCACGCCCGGGGCAAAGCCCACUCCUCCCGAAAGGAGAGCCUGGGUUCCAUUCUGCACACCCUGGAGUGCCUCCGGCUCUGAAAAAGCCAAGACGUCGGAGGCGUCUCCUCGCAGGCUGGGCUGGACUUUGGGCUGGAGGGGGCUGGGUGUGGAACCAGGCGGGGGAAGCUCGGCUUUCCCCGGAAGGGAGCAGUGGACAGGGAACUAGCAGUGGAGUUUUGGAGCAAGUGAGGCACCACCUGGCUCCCUUUAAGUGCACAUCCGGCUGCCGGUGCCACUCGCGCUGCCCGCCUGGGAGCCGGCCUCAGGGAGACCAGGGAUGGUCAGUCCCCAAGUCGUGGAGUCUUAUCUUCCCGACGCAUCAGAACUGUUGCAGCCCCAGGCACCAGCAGGAGAAGAGGGAGGCGGAACUGACAGCGUCUGCCCUGCUGGGUCUCGCUGACCAGCCUGGCCUCCCCGUGGCACUGAUCCAGAGCUGGUGGUCUCUACAAUACCCUCCAGCUCUGAGAUCUCCCAGUAAAGGGCAAGCCAGCCGCUAAGCAGAAGCUGGGACACACACACACAGCUAGCCUGCUAAGGCAUCUCCGUCCCCAGAUGCCCCCUCCUCCAGGGAGCCUUCCUUCUUGGCCAAAGGAGGUGAGGAGUGAGGUUCAAGGAAUGAGAGCUGGACUGGGAGCCUGGAGAUGGGGCUUUGGGCCCUGACAUGUAUGAAACAUGUGACAUGGGGCAAAUCUCCUGUUUCCUCAUGUGUGUAGAAUGAUACUUUGCCCAGGUUGUGGGGAUCACACGAGUCCGUGGUUGCGUGCUGGUGAUCCUGGGGUGAGCAGCGGGAGAGCUGACAAGACCCCUGCAGAGGCCAAGGCAGGCCCUGGGCCACUGGCUCUUCCAGGGAAAGAGGAAGAGGGGCUGGUGAUAACCCAGGUCCCUGGAUGCUGGGAUUUGGGGCCCAGUACUUCCUGGGGAGCCUGCUGCCCCCUGGGGACCUAGAGAAUGUCCUUCCCAUGGUUUGUCAGUGGUGACAUCUCAACAGAGAAGGACAAACGACCCCAGUCAUUUGAAGCCUGGCCUUUCCAGGGACACUUCAUGAAACCAGCAGAGAGUCAGCGGUGUCUCUAAAAGCCCAAACUCCAGCACCCUGUCUAUGGACACAAAACCCAAAGACACGGAAGAUUGGUGCGUAGACAACUCCAGAAGUAAGGAAAAAGGUGAAUUUUGCAAUCUUCACCUCUAAUGAACUUCAGAGCAGAAGCAUGCAUUUCGAGGCCCAUGAGGACAUGGAGCUCUCGUCUGCCGUGCAGCGCAGCAAGGACAUGGUGUGUGGGAUCUGCAUGGAGGUGGCCUACGAGAAAGCCAGCCCCAGCGAGCGCAGCCCCAGGAUCCUCUCCAACUGCAACCACACCUACUGUCUCAAGUCUAUUCGCAAGUGGAGGAGUGCUAAGCAAUUUUUUUUAAUUAAUUUAUUUAUGGCUGUGUUGGGUCUUCGUUGCUGCACGCAGGCUUUCUCUAGUUGCGGCGAGCGGGGGCUACUCUUCGUUGCAGUGCGCGGGCUUCUCAUUGCGGUGGCUUCUCUUGUUGCAGAGCACGGGCUCUAGGCGCACGGGCUUCAGUAGUUGUGGCACGUGGGCUCAGUAGUUGUGGCUUGCGGGCUCUAGAGCGCAGGCUCAGCGCUCUGGAGGGGAAGUGUCAUGGUUGGAGAGGGGUGUGCAGGGGCUUCAAAAGCAUUUGCAAUAACCUAGUUCUUUUGUUUUAAUCGAAGUAUAGUUAAUUUACAAUAUCGUGUUAGUUUCAGGUGUACAGCAAAGUGAUUCAGCUAUACAUAUAUAUUUAUAUAAUUAUUUACUUCCUUAUUUUCAGAUUAUUUUCUGUUAUAGAUAAUUACAAGAUACUGAAUCGCAGUUCCCUAGUUCUUAAAAUGAGUGGUUCACACAGAGGUGUUCACCAUAUAAUUGUGUGCAUAUGUUAGUAACUGUGAGCCUGUGCUGGCCACUUCCCCUGGGGAGAAUCCAGGAAGGCAGGGCUUAUCACCCUGGGAAUCCCCUGAUCCAGGAGGGGAGUUUUUGACUCCCCAGCCAGUGGGAGGAGGAAGCCCCCUCUCUCUUCCCCUCCCAAGGAAGACAUUGGGCUCUGGACUCCCCGGCCCCCAACCCCUGUCUACACAGGACAUAAGGCAGCUUCCUUUCCCCCAAAGAGGCCAGAGUGGAGACCAGGGGAUCCCCGGCCCCAGGCCAGCGGGGUUGGAAGUCACAGCCUGACUGUGACUGGGAGGUAAGACCCACACCCUAAAGAAUCCAGGGCAGUGGUUCCCUGGCUUUGGGUUUCACCAACUAAUAAUACUUUUUAAAAUAUAAAUACACAAAUCGUGUUGCCACCAUUUUGUGGGGUUUUUGUUUGUUUGUUUGCGGUACGCGGGCCUCUCACCGCUGUGGCCUCUCCCGUGGCGGAGCACAGGCUCCGGAUGCACAGGCUCAGCGGCCAUGGCUCACGGGCCCAGCCGCUCCGUGGCAUGUGGGAUCUUCCCGGACCGGGGCACGAACCCGUGUCCCCUGCAUCGGCAGGCGGACUCUCAACCACUGCGCCACCAGGGAAGCCCCACCAUUUUGUUUUUUGAAGAAAUUAGAAGACAACAAUUACCACUUCCUGUGCUCCCACCCCAUAAGUACAGGGUAUCUUGAUACUAAAAUAAUAGAAUUAAGGCAUGCAUACUUGAGAAAAGGAGAACCCUUUUCACUGAAUGCACGUAGCUUUAUGGAAACUUCACUGCAGUAGCCCGGUUUCCUCAGCGGGCAGUGGAGUAGAAAGUUGGGUCACAGAGAUCCAAUCAGGGGAAUUGCAUCUGGAAAAUUCUAAAACGAGGGCCAUGUGGGCAUCCAUGGCACUCAAGGGCAAGCAAGCCACCACCCUCACGGGCACACACACCAGACUCACCCCUUCCGAGGGACGGCCACAAGUGCAUACGCGCACGCACACACACACACGCUCCUCCCCGGGGCUCCCGGGUUGGAAAACCUGCCCUGGCAUUUAGGUGUGGCCAUACUUCUCUCCUGAGCCCAGAGCCGAGGGAGGGGCUCACCCAGCCCGUGUCAACCGGUGGAGCCAGGUGGGUGCUGACCCGGGGCCAGAGGUGGGCCACCCGCUCAGGCCCCCGGCCCACUGCCUCUGGCCGGGAGACCAGAGCUCUGUCCACCUGCAGGGAGUCCAGGGCCCUGUUCUGUACCCCUGGUUAGGGCUGUGACCUUGAGCAAUUCAGUCUCCCUCUCUGGGCCUCCAGAAGCCGGCUACAGCCCCGUGCACCAGGCCCAUGGGCAGAUGGGGGCUGCGCUGCUCAGCGGUAGCCUCAGGGACCCGCUUAGGAGUGUGUCUCGGGAUAGAGUGCCCGUCACCCACCUCCAGCGGAGGGCCCGCUGGCCGGCUUUAGGGCUGCUGAGGAGGGAGCCCUGCUGGGGUCAGGAAGGCGGCUGCCGUCCGCACUGGCCCCAGCGGCCUGUCCCAGGCUUCGACAGCUUGGUCACCCACCUGGAACAAACCUGGCCAGCCGGGAGCCCUGCGGGGAGCCUGACUCACUUCGUGGGGGGCCAUUGGGGCUAAUGUUUAACGGGCUCCCUCCUUGGCGGGACACUCCAGUCCCUGCAGCCCUGAGCCUGGGCCUGCCCUGACCAUCCUGCUGCGAGGUGGGCCCCAGACAGACAGUGGGCUCGGCCUCCUGCCCCGUGGAUAUAGAGACCUGGGGGGCGGCCGGCCUCCUCAGGCUCUGGGGCAGGCAGGGGUGUAGCAGGUGGCGUUCUGCCCUGGUCGUUCCUUCCAGGAGGCAGGAGCUCCCCCUCCAGCGGCUGCUAUAGGUCCGCGUCCCUGCUGUUGGAGAAAGUCGGCCCCUUUGUCCAUUUGGGUGCAUUUGCAUCUCAUUUGAACGUUUUCUCCUCUCUGGGGACAGGCGAACUCCAAGGUGCUUAUGCAUUGCCCUUGGUCCCCGGCCACAUCCCUUCUGGAAAGUUACAGGUCGGGCUCUGUUGAGGCAAGUCUGAUCCCAGAAAAGGGUGACCGCCAAGGCAGGUUGACCCAGGUCCCUGUCCCCAGCCUGCAGCUGUCACAGCCCUUGACUCGUGGUGAGUGACUUCAACUCUCCCAACCUCCGUCUCCUCAUGUGUCAAUGAAUCUGAGAUAACAGGUACCCCUUAGGUUUUGGUGAGAACGUAAUGAUGUGAUUCUGGUAAGGCAUGUUAUUAAGUCGUGACUAAGAGUCCGGGCUCUAACAGACCAGCUGAGUUCAGUCCUGGCCCCUCUUUCACUAACUGUGUGACCAUGGAAAGGUGUUAACCUCUCUGUGCCUCACUGUUCCCAUCUGUGAAAUGGGAGUGGUUGUGGUCCCUCUCUCAUGGGGUGUCGUGAAGGUUAGAUGAGCUAAUUCAGGUGCAGAGAGCAGUGCCUAGAGUGGAGUGAGUGCUGCGGCCGCUGGUCUUCAGUGGGGCCCAGCUCCAGGCUCUGCCCUGCUCGUGUCCAGGCUGGGUCCCUGCGUGGUGAGUGGGGACCGGGUGGAAUCGUGGUUCUCUCUCUCCAGAGACCACGCCUCCCGCCCAGGCCCUGCUGUGGCCACAACUAAGCCAGCCCCGCCCACUGCCACCCCAAGGAGCCCUGUGACAGAGCCCCCUGGCCGUCACCACUCAGGGCUCCGUUGCACGGGGGUAGGCUAGGUCUGGCCCUGCCAGGAAGCAGAACGGACUGGACAUCCUCCCGGAGGGCUUUGGGUGGGGCAGGGGCCCUUUCCCAGAGGGCCCUCCUCCCACGGGCUCUCUGCGCCAGGCGUUUGCUCUGAGUCAGGCCUGGCUUUGCAGGGCAGGGUGGGGGCCCCAGCGUGCUGGGCCCCAGGUCAAUAGUUGGGGGGCGGAACCGAGCACUGCCUUUGCAACUCGGGGCCAGGAUCUCCCAGGGCUGAGAGGAAGCAGAGGGGGGAGGCCACGCUACAGACUCAGGCCGGCCGCAGUGACCUGUGCGUCAGGGAAGGGGGCGUGUGUGUGGCUGCCAGGUGUGAGACCCAAGCCAGGCUCUGUGCCUGGCCCAGCCCCGCCGGGCUCUCCAGCUGCGUGUGUGUGUGUGUGUGUGUGUGUGUGUGUGUGUGUGUGUGUGUGUGUGUUUGUGUCUGGGUGUGUGUGUGUGUCUGGGUGUGUCUGCGCCUGAGAAUUUCCGUGUUUCUAGGAGCUGUUUUCUUUGAGCACGUCCACCUCUCCGCCCACUGAGCUGUUUGCAGCAAGGACCCAGGCAGACUGCUCUUCCCCCAGCACAUCUCGGGCUGCUGGUCCUUCAGGGGCUGGCGGCUGCGUGGCCGGGAGCCAGACCCCGGCCCAGGGGCCCCUGGUGCUGCACUUUGCUCCCAGCUUCUGGCAUUUAUGGUGGAUAAUGCACUGGGAGCAGAGGGCAGAACAGGGACUCACAGGCAGCUGGAGGGCUCUUCACACAGCCCAGCCUCUCCUGGGGCCAGUGCCGGGCGGCCAAAAAGCCAAGGGCCGGGCCGGGGACCAGCUGCUUCCUUGUAGGCAUAUCUCAGGAGUCACACGACACUGCCCGGAAAAGCCUCUCUGGCCCAGAUGUUGGUCUUUGCUCCACGGGAGCCGCUGCCCUCCGUGUGUCUGAAGGGGUGCCCCCAGGCCCCCCAUUCCACCCCAGCAGACUUGCACCCCUCACCGGGCUUUGGCCCAGAUGUCAGCGGGAUGAAGAAAGGACCUGACCUGGAGGACAGACAACUGACUGCCACACCUUGGGACAGAAUCAGUCCUGGGGGACAUGGUCCGUCAGGAGUGUGAAGGAAAGACAGUCAGGGAGGGUGGAUGCAGGUGGACAGGGCUGGCCCAGGACACGAUGGGAGAGCCCAGGGCAGGCGUGAACAAGGAGCUGCCUGGUGGCCGGGGUGGAACUGCAGGGCAUCCCCCUGGCGGGGCCAGGACACUGACCUGACUGCUCACCCCGAGGGUCAGGCACACCAGGGCACCCGGGAGAGGGGAGCCGGGGGAACGGCCCCGUGAGAGCAGCAGGGCCAGGGGCUGGGAAUGGAGGGGCCCCCUGCCAGCUGCAGGUCAGGCUGGGCUGAGCUGAGCACCCUGGCGGUGACGCUGUGCUGUGUGGUGUCACCGGACCAGAUGGCAGGGGGACCAGGAGGACCUGAGCAGGUGGUCCUCCAUGCUGCCCCGAGCUGCUGCCUGAAGCCCAGCACAGCCUCCCUCACAGGCUCCCUGCCUUCCCCCUCCCCCAGGUGCUUACAGCCAGAGCUGCAGAAGUGAGCAGGACACUGGUUUUAAUGGAGAGGCUGUGACGCCCACGGGCGCUUGACAUACAGAGUGGAGGGUGCAUGCCUCCUCGAGGCCUGGUUGCCCCACAGCGGCCGGAGCCCCAGGGAGCCCACCCGCCAGCCAGGCGACGUCUUCAGACGCUGCCGUUCCUCCCCUCUGUGUCUGUUAAUCCCAGUCCCGCCGGAAGGCGCUCAGGCUGGAGGGGAGACGUGGGAGCAGGGGGCGCGCUCUGCAGUGCAGGGGGGUAUGCUGAGAGGCCGGCUGGCGGGGCUGCAGGAAGGAGCAGGCAGGGCACCCGGAGUACAGUUUGGCCAGCUGCCUGCGGGACAGAGAGGCAGCAGCCCUCAGUUCCCAGCCCUUCUCACCCCGGCACCCAGGCUGGACUGCUGUCCACAGGGGCUCCUACGAGCCUCAGCUCUCCCCACCCUCCUCCCCACGGGCCUCCUCGCACCUGUCCGCCUGGGCAUCCUCCCACGUGUGGCUAAUCCCCACCUCUGAGCUCUGGUUGCACCAUCAGCCCCUGACAGGCCCUCCUGCGUCCGCAACCCCAUCACAUCCUCCGAGAGCCUGCCCCUCCAGGAGGCUUCUCAGACGGACAGGGCUGUCGGACAGACCCUGCCCUGUUGCGUGUGCCCUCCGCACGCCCACAGAGGGCUUCACGUGUCCUAACGUUCUGCUUUCUCCAGCAGCUUCCUCGGAGAGUGGGUGGCCUUGUCUCCUCUGAAUGGAAGCCCCCCGACCAGUGCUGGGCACUUUGCAGGAUUCCCCAGGAGGCAGUUAAAAGUGCUUUAGACUUUUGGAAAGUCAGAGCUGGAAGGCCCCGGGGGUCAUGGAAUCCAGGGGUUCUAAGCUCUGGCAUCAGAGUCACCCAGGGGCUGAUCCCACCCCAGAGGCUCGGAUCCAGCAGGCCUGGGAGGGGCCAGAUCAUCUGCGCCCCAGGCGAUACACCUGGGGGAUCACGGAGCUGACGCAACCCCAUGCUGCAGGUGAGGGAGUGAAGGGCCCCGAAGCAGGAAGGAUGUGCCUACGGUCUCGGGGGACCAGGACUGAGCCACCUCAGGGCUCCUCUUCCCCGCCCACCCUGCCCAGCCCGCCAGCCGCCGUCCUGGCGUCCCUGCGGCCCUGUCAGCUGGGGCCUGGGAGCGGGGAGCUGGCUCCGCCUACCUCUACUGGGAGGUCGGGGACUUAGCAGCGUCGAACAUCUUCUUGCGGCCCUCCAUCCCGGACAUGGCCUCCACGUUCUUCCUCCAGUCGCCCACCUCCACGGGCCGCUCCUGUGGGCGGCCACACAGGGGACACCUAGCACCAGGCCCUCCCCGCGCGGGAGCGGCUGGGUGAUGGGAAGUCAGCCUCCCCUAAGAGGGGGGACAUCCCAGCCCUCCUCCCAGAACAGGGGUCCUGGAACGUGCUGACAGCUGGCGGGGCUCAUGUUGGGGGUGCAGGGCUGGCCGAGGCCGCGUCGGGUGAGGUCGGGGGCUCACCUUCUCCGUGUCCUCCUUUUUCACAGACUUGAGGUUGGCGCGCAGGUCCAUGGACACCUUGUGCUUGGAGCCCAGCAGGGCGCGCAGCAUGGCGUCGGCCGAGACGCGGACGCGCCGCAGCGGGGGGCGCUUGAACUUCCCGCGCAGGUCCAGCACCUUGAGCUUCAGGUCCUUGAUCUGCGGGGAGGGGGCAGCUCAGGGCUCGGGGCCCCAGCCAGGCCCCACUUCUCCAGGCUCCAGGCCAGGCCCUCGGGGACGCCCAGACCCACUAUCUGUCACCUUGCAAACAGCCACCUUCGUUCUAUCCUAUUCAAUUGGUACAGGGGUGAGUGGGACUCCGAGAGGGAACUCGGUUAGCUGUGGCGGCCAUGCAGGGAAGAGACAGAAGUGUCAUUCGGAAGCCCUGUUUGCAGUGGGACGGGCCACUUCCUCUUAUUCCCGCUUCUAACCAGUCCCUUCCCAGUGAGCCUUCAGAGCAGGUCAUUGAGGGCACAGCCCUGGUCCAGCAGGAUGGAUAAACCCCAUGUCCGAGCCCCCUGGGGGAUUUCCAGGGUGCAACCUCAGGAGGAAAUUCUGGGGGGAGCCCUGAACCCACAGACCGUCAUUCCUGCUGGGGAGGAGUGGGAAGGAGGGAAGUGGCUCUAGUCCCUCCCCACCCCUCUGCUGGAACAGGCGCCCACUCCAGCAGCAGGAGCCCUGCCCUCCGCAUUCUGCCUACCGCACCAGAGCUGGGUCUGGGUGGAGCUGACGCCCCGCGCCCCAUGCCGGGGGAGUGCUGAGUGACUGGAGUGAGGGUCCGAGGCCAGGCCCAUCCCAGGUCCACUUGCUGUGUGACCUGGGCCGAGUUUCUCAGCCUCUCUGAACCUGUGUCCUCAUCUGUCAGGUGCAGAUAAAAGCACCCACUUCGUCCACAGGCGUGCAGGGAGGAUCAAAGGGACAAUGCAAAUGAAAGCCAUUUGCAAGGCUUUUCUGCUAGUUGAUUUCGCCCAACUUUCAGCUACCGUGAGUGGGGUCCUCACACGGUUAAGCUGGGCCAGGUGAGCUGUGAUGUGCGCUGGGUGAGGCGUAGACAGUGCACUUUGGACCUACGACAGUUUCACCUGACGAUGGGUUUCUUGGGACUUAACCUCAUGGUAAGUCAAAGGAGAUCUGUAUCUCCUUCCGGGCCCUUCACUCUGCAGUCACUGG